UGCAAGCUUUUAGUUCAUCAUAUACAUAUAUAUUCUGACAAGCUUCUAAAUAGAAACAAACGGGACAACGUGAGAAACUAUUAUACAAGUGUCACAUAUGAAACAGUGUAGUUUCAUUUAUUCGUUGGACGUUCACGAGACACGAUUUUCGAUUUUUAAUAAUCUAUCUCUGGAGAAAUUACAGAUUAUUAACGUCGCUGCAAUGGAGUCAGCAAAAUGGAGUCAGCAACGGGUUGGAUCGUCAGGAAUGGCAUGAUCGUUCAUUCUGGAGAUUUGUCGAGGACAAAAGGUAAAGAAGAUGGUCGAGACCAACGAUUUCAACGAGAAACAGAGGCGUCAAACUCCUGCCGAGAGAUUUAUUUAUAACGCGUGAACGCGCGUCCCCGCCUUGGUACAUUAAACCGUGCACGUAUUGACGUCUCACUUGUCGUCUUUUGCACGCAAAACGAUCUCAAUGACGAAUCGCGUGCUGCAGUUCUGGCUUUCAUCGACACCCACUACGGCACCACCACGGAUUAUGUAAUUCGAAGAAGAAGAAGAAGAACAAGAAUAAGAAGAAGAUGAAGAGGACGAAGAACGUGGAAGGGUGGAACAGGCGUCUUGCAGCCAAGAAAAUUUUACAAAUAUUCGUGCGAUGGUCUGAUAAAUUCCAUCAAUCUUUAAAAAUACGCUGUUGGUCAAGUAUCUGGCAUUUAAAUGUAAUAAUUGAUAGAAGAAGUCAGUUUAGAAUUUUGAUAUGUUACAGAUGUCUUCAAAUAAUAAUUUACAAAAGUAAAGGAAAUUUCUAUCGAUUGACUGUACUGUCUAAUUGAUAACAAAGACAGUUGAAAAUUCGUAGAAGAUGAUUCCAAAUUAUGUUCAUUGAAUUUCGAGAUAUUAUUAUCAAUAUAGAGCAAUUAUUUGUGUGUCACGUGAUUUCACUGUCACGUUAAAUGCCUCGGACAUAUCUAACCCAAUUUCUGAGAAUAAAAUAUCUACGUUAAGCAUGUAGUUUCUUAAUUUAAUAUAAUCUUUCCUCGAAGAAUUUCGAUUCUAACCCAGAUUUCUUUUAGAGGAGCGAAAAAGUUGGAAGACGAUGGAGGAGGAUCGAGAGCCAGCUUCGCCUUAGAGUCGCUGAACCGAGAGGAAUGCAAGAGUGAAAAUGGAGAGUGAAAUAGCGAAGGCAAGAGAAAGAGGGAUGGAGCACACAGCACGAGGUACUCCGAAGAAUUUGGUGGCUGUACCAGAAGCAAAAGGGCUGAGGCUAUAAACGGGUUAUGUAAGAUUGAGUAGCUGCCACGUGUCGGCGGACGUCGCAUUGCUUCUGCACUUCCUGAAUUCACUUUCGCAAUCGACAGACCUAAUGCCUUUCCAAAAGUCUGGAACGUCAAAAUCUUCCAAUUUUUAAAGUCUGUAAUCCGUCAUUCUUCUUUAAAUAGUCUUUGAAAAUGAAUGGAACAUUGUUGAAAAUAUUGUUCACUGACAACUAUGAUUUUCGAGGAUUAUAUAGCCAAUAGGAUUGCUUAAAUCUUUUCAAUGUUAAUUAAUCUGGUGAUAUUUCACCUAUAUUAUAUCUUAAUUAAAAGAGAUUAAAUGACUAUAGUUUAGGAACUAAAUGAUGAAGUUUAUCAGUUUAGCAUGUGACUAAAGUAAUAAAGAGUGAAUACUUCAAAGUUAA
Molecule: long non-coding RNA, 1657 nt
Organism: Bombus terrestris (buff-tailed bumblebee)
Lineage: Eukaryota; Metazoa; Arthropoda; Insecta; Hymenoptera; Apidae
Exons: 2
Source: RefSeq, a predicted model, not a curated record